This 377-nucleotide unclassified non-coding RNA is filed under the name uncultured Actinomycetes bacterium. RNAcentral describes it as "uncultured actinobacterium contains 16S-23S intergenic spacer region". Lineage: Bacteria; Bacillati; Actinomycetota; Actinomycetes. The record is from RNAcentral.
UCCGAGUUGACCCCGGCAGUCUCCUAUGAGUCCCCGGCAUAACCCGCUGGCAACAUAGAACGAGGGUUGCGCUCGUUACGGGACUUAACCCAACACCUCACGGCACGAGCUGACGACAACCAUGCACCACCUGUAUAGGACGCCGAAGCACACCACAUCUCUGUGGCUUUUCCCUAUAUUUCAAGCCCUGGUAAGGUUCUUCGCGUUGCGUCGAAUUAAGCCACAUGCUCCGCCGCUUGUGCGGGCCCCCGUCAACUCCUUUGAGUUUUAGCCUUGCGGCCGUACUCCCCAGGCGGGGUGCUUAAUGCGUUAGCUGCGGCACAGACGGCGUGGAAUACCGCCUACACCUAGCACCCACCGUUUACGGCGUGGACUAC